UAUUGGAGAGCGGGAUAUUAUCAGUGGGGGCUCUAUUCCGGUCGAAGGAUGAUUUGGCGAUCGCUGUUGGCCUGUACCAUAUGGAGAAUCACGUGGAGUACGCCGUGGAUCGUUCCAGUACGACCCGUUUGUGGUUUGUUUGCAAGCAUGGCAACGAUUGUCCGUUCAUGCUGCGAGCCGUUCAGAGUGCAUCGAUCUGGAGAGUGAUCAAGGUGGUGAUGGAUCAUACCUGCCACACGGAUUUGAAUCGCACUGCCCCGAGACAGAUUCCGGCGAGGGUUGUUGGAAGAUAUUUUGCACGGAAAUUGGUAGGCGAGGGGGUCAUUUUGAAGCCGA
Molecule: long non-coding RNA, 336 nt
Filed under: Salvia miltiorrhiza (redroot sage)
Lineage: Eukaryota; Viridiplantae; Streptophyta; Magnoliopsida; Lamiales; Lamiaceae
Description: long non-coding RNA (SMIL_LNC000916)
Source: RNAcentral